GCUUCCUCUGAGAAUCUGAAUGUAUCAUCCUGCAAAUCAGUUUGGAAAUGUACAAGUGUUGUGCUGUCUGAUAUGAAGCUCUAGAAAAAACCCAAAGAAAACAUACAAGACAAGCAUUCCCUGGAAGUCAUGAGAAGAUGCUCCUCUCCUCCCAACUACGUGACUGCAGUUGCCAUGCUCACCUCCCCCAGAAACUGGAGAUGGUCUAGUCAGUGAGCAAAAGUUCCAAAGUGCUUGGAGAAAAAAGAUGAAAAACAAUUAUAUUUGAAAAGAAUCUGUACUUUAGUAAUAUCCCCAGUGUGUCUUGUGCGCAUUAAAAUGUGAAAUGCACUGCUUUAGACCUGCACAGUGCAACGUGGCAGCCAAUAGUCAUAGGUGGUUUCAAGAAUGUAAAAUGUUGCUCUCAGAAUUGAGAUGUGCUAUUAAGGGUAAAAUAUACACCAGAUUUCAAAGACUUAGAAUGAAAAAAAAUAUAUAUAUGUAAUGUCUCAUUAAGAUUUUUCUUUUGAU
RNAcentral lists this long non-coding RNA (510 nucleotides) under Homo sapiens (human). RNAcentral describes it as "HSALNT0031553". The record is from RNAcentral. Lineage: Eukaryota; Metazoa; Chordata; Mammalia; Primates; Hominidae.